GAGGGGAUAGCUCAGUGGCAGAGCAUGUGCUUAAUAUGCACGAAGUCCUGGGUUCAAUCCCCAGUACCUUCA
Non-coding RNA from Vicugna pacos (alpaca), 72 nucleotides. NCBI's taxonomy places the organism in Eukaryota, Metazoa, Chordata, Mammalia, Artiodactyla, Camelidae. The record is from the annotation of a RefSeq genome assembly.